RNAcentral lists this ribosomal RNA (301 nucleotides) under uncultured bacterium. Its description in RNAcentral is "partial 16S ribosomal RNA". It matches the Rfam family "Bacterial small subunit ribosomal RNA", at positions 509 to 807 of the family's 1533-position model. The record is from RNAcentral.
CAGUAGCCGCGGUAAAACGAAGGGUGCAAGCGUUAAUCGGAAUUACUGGGCGUAAAGCGCGCGUAGGUGGUUUGGUAAGAUGGAUGUGAAAUCCCCGGGCUCAACCUGGGAACUGCAUCCAUAACUGCCUGACUAGAGUACGGUAGAGGGUGGUGGAAUUUCCUGUGUAGCGGUGAAAUGCGUAGAUAUAGGAAGGAACACCAGUGGCGAAGGCGACCACCUGGACUGAUACUGACACUGAGGUGCGAAAGCGUGGGGAGCAAACAGGAUUAGAUACCCCCGUAGUCCCUGUCUCUUAUAC